Molecule: long non-coding RNA, 519 nt
Organism: Heterocephalus glaber (naked mole-rat)
Lineage: Eukaryota; Metazoa; Chordata; Mammalia; Rodentia; Bathyergidae
Source: Ensembl
CCAGGAGCCAGCUCUGGUCACAGGAGGAAGGGUGUGUCUCUGGUGGCUUUGGGAACAUUUUCCUCUUUCUUAAGAAAAGAUGGGAGGAAGAUGAGCUCUCUUCCCUUCCUGUAGACACCGUUUUGCCCAGAUGUGGUGCAGGAUGACCUGAGAUGUGUCACUACCUGCCUGCGGGCGACGGCACAGAAAUGCUGGAAAGGCCUGGGUCUGUCCAUCCUCCGGGCUCCUCCACCUCAACCUAGCUGCCACCACCAGCCAACAAGCUUCCUGCCCCGUGAUACCUGCAGAGGUUGUGUUUCUAUCCUCAGCUGCUGGAAGCCUCCUGAUAGAAAUGCUGGAUCCUGUUUACUAGUGUCCUGUGGAAGAUGUGACAAUGGUCUGUGGUUUUCUUUUCUUCUUUUACCCUUUGAUCAACAAUGGUUUUGUAAUAAGGAGAGGAAGAGGGGUCAAAGGGAAGACAGGAGAACAAGAAAGAAAGAAAGAAGGAGCAAGUUGUAUCAUGUACAAGUACAAAUUCCC